CGGCAAUGGAGGAAACUCUGACCGAGCAACGCCGCGUGAACGAUGAAGUAUUUCGGUAUGUAAAGUUCUUUUAUUAGGGAAGAAUAAAUGAUGGAAAAAUCAUUCUGACUGUACCUAAUGAAUAAGCCCCGGCUAACUAUGUGCCAGCAGCCGCGGUAAUACAUAGGGGGCAAGCGUUAUCCGGAAUUAUUGGGCGUAAAGGGUGCGUAGGCGGUUAAAUAAGUUUAUGGUCUAAGUUCAAUGCUCAACAUUGUGAUGCUAUAAAAACUGUUUAGCUAGAGUAAGAUAGAGGCAAGUGGAAUUCCAUGUGUAGUGGUAAAAUGCGUAAAUAUAUGGAGGAACACCAGUAGCGAAGGCGGCUUGCUGGGUCUUUACUGACGCUGAGGCACGAAAGCGUGGGGAGCAAACAGGAUUAGAUACCCUGGUAGUCCACGCCGUAAACGAUGAGUACUAAACGUUGGGUAAAACCAGUGUUGAAGUUAACACAUUAAGUACUCCGCCUGAGUAGUACGUACGCAAGUAUGAAACUUAAAGGAAUUGACGGGACUCCGCACAAGCGGUGGAUCAUGUUGUUUAAUUCGAAGGUACCCGAAAAACCUCACCAGGUCUUGACAUGCUUCUGCAAAGUUGUAGAAAUACAGUGGAGGUUAUCAGUUGCACAGGUGGUGCAUGGUUGUCGUCAGCUCGUGUCGUGAGAUGUUGGGUUAAGUCCCGCAACGAGCGCAACCCUUAAUGUUAGUUACCAGCACGUAAUGGUGGGGACUUUAGCAAGACUGCCAGUGAUAAAUUGGAGGAAGGUGGGGACGACGUCAAAUCAUCAUGCCCCUUAUGACCUGGGCUACAAACGUGAUACAAUGGCUGUUACAAAGGGUAGCUGAA
RNAcentral lists this ribosomal RNA (879 nucleotides) under Candidatus Phytoplasma asteris-related phytoplasma. Its description in RNAcentral is "bacterial SSU rRNA". It matches the Rfam family "Bacterial small subunit ribosomal RNA", at positions 366 to 1254 of the family's 1533-position model. Lineage: Bacteria; Bacillati; Mycoplasmatota; Mollicutes; Acholeplasmatales; Acholeplasmataceae. The record is from RNAcentral.